This 497-nucleotide ribosomal RNA is filed under the name uncultured bacterium. Its description in RNAcentral is "partial 16S ribosomal RNA". It matches the Rfam family "Bacterial small subunit ribosomal RNA", at positions 28 to 507 of the family's 1533-position model. The record is from RNAcentral.
GAUGAACGCUGGCGGCGUGCCUAAUACAUGCAAGUCGAGCGAACAGACGAGGAGCUUGCUCCUCUGACGUUAGCGGCGGACGGGUGAGUAACACGUGGAUAACCUACCUAUAAGACUGGGAUAACUUCGGGAAACCGGAGCUAAUACCGGAUAAUAUAUUGAACCGCAUGGUUCAAUAGUGAAAGACGGUUUUGCUGUCACUUAUAGAUGGAUCCGCGCCGCAUUAGCUAGUUGGUAAGGUAACGGCUUACCAAGGCAACGAUGCGUAGCCGACCUGAGAGGGUGAUCGGCCACACUGGAACGGAGACACGGUCCAGACUCCUACGGGAGGCAGCAGUAGGGAAUAUUCCGCAAUGGGCGAAAGCCUGACGGAGCAACGCCGCGUGAGUGAUGAAGGUCUUCGGAUCGUAAAACUCUGUUAUUAGGGAAGAACAAAUGUGUAAGUAACUAUGCACGUCUUGACGGUACCUAAUCAGAAAGCCACGGCUAACUACGUG